RNAcentral lists this ribosomal RNA (484 nucleotides) under uncultured bacterium. RNAcentral describes it as "partial 16S ribosomal RNA". It matches the Rfam family "Bacterial small subunit ribosomal RNA", at positions 30 to 507 of the family's 1533-position model. The record is from RNAcentral.
AUUGAACGCUGGCGGCAGGCCUAACACAUGCAAGUCGAGCGGAUGAAGGGAGCUUGCUCCUGGAUUCAGCGGCGGACGGGUGAGUAAUGCCUAGGAAUCUGCCUGGUAGUGGGGGAUAACGUCCGGAAACGGGCGCUAAUACCGCAUACGUCCUGAGGGAGAAAGUGGGGGAUGUUCGGACCUCACGCUAUCAGAUGAGCCUAGGUCGGAUUAGCUAGUUGGUGGGGUAAAGGCCUACCAAGGCGACGAUCCGUAACUGGUCUGAGAGGAUGAUCAGUCACACUGGAACUGAGACACGGUCCAGACUCCUACGGGAGGCAGCAGUGGGGAAUAUUGGACAAUGGGCGAAAGCCUGAUCCAGCCAUGCCGCGUGUGUGAAGAAGGUCUUCGGAUUGUAAAGCACUUUAAGUUGGGAGGAAGGGCAGUAAGUUAAUACCUUGCUGUUUUGACGUUACCAACAGAAUAAGCACCGGCUAACUUCGUG